This 375-nucleotide ribosomal RNA is filed under the name uncultured eukaryote. RNAcentral's name for it is "partial 18S ribosomal RNA". It matches the Rfam family "Eukaryotic small subunit ribosomal RNA", at positions 592 to 976 of the family's 1831-position model. The record is from RNAcentral.
CAAUAGCGUAUAUUUAAGUUGUUGCAGUUAAAAAGCUCGUAGUUGGAUUUCGGUUAAGAGCGACCGGUCCGCCGUUUGGUGUGCACUGGUUGGUGUUAACUUCCUGUAGAGGACGUGCUCUGGGUUUAACGACCUGGACUCGGAGUCUACGUGGUUACUUUGAAAAAAUUAGAGUGUUCAAAGCGGGCUUACGCUUGAAUAUUUCAGCAUGGAAUAACACUAUAGGACUCCUGUCCUAUUUCGUUGGUCUCGGGACGGGAGUAAUGAUUAAGAGGAACAGUUGGGGGCAUUCGUAUUUCAUUGUCAGAGGUGAAAUUCUUGGAUUUAUGAAAGACGAACUUCUGCGAAAGCAUUUGCCAAGGAUGUUUUCAUUAA